CUUGAUCGACCCCAGCCACAGCGGUGACCCGUCCUCCGGGCGCGAUUGCCCGUAGGUGGCCAACAACGCUUGAGCCUC
RNAcentral lists this antisense RNA (78 nucleotides) under Mycobacterium intermedium. RNAcentral describes it as "ASpks TB sRNA". It matches the Rfam family "ASpks TB sRNA". The record is from Rfam by way of RNAcentral. Lineage: Bacteria; Bacillati; Actinomycetota; Actinomycetes; Mycobacteriales; Mycobacteriaceae.